Molecule: long non-coding RNA, 3904 nt
Filed under: Sus scrofa (pig)
Lineage: Eukaryota; Metazoa; Chordata; Mammalia; Artiodactyla; Suidae
Description: lncRNA (ENSSSCG00025052049.1)
Source: RNAcentral
UUUUUUUUUUUUUUUUUGCCUUUUCUAGGGCCGCUCCCACGGCAUAUGGAGGUUCCCAGGCUAGGGGUCGAAUCGGAGCUGUAGCCACUGGCCUACACCACAGCCACAGCAACCUGGGAUCCAAGCCACGUCUGCAACCUACACUACAGCUCACGGCAACGCCGGAUCCUUAACUCACUGAGAGAGGCUAGGGAUCGAACCCGCAACCUCAUGGUUCCCAGUGGGAUUCGUUAACCACUGAGCCACGAUGGGAACUCCCUCUUUUCUUUCUUUCUUUCCUUCCUUCCUUAAUGCCUUCCCUUCUUUCUUUCCUUCUUUCUCCCCCCUCCCUUCUGUCUUUGCAGCUGAGACUCUGUAUCAACUGCUUUGGGUCCUAAAAGUUCAUGUCCUUGGAGGGAAAAGAGAGACAAGCCAUGUGGGGAUGCAGGUCCCCUGGUGUGGCCUCAUAAACCCCUAUUUCCAUUCAUAUUUCAUGACCACAAAAUGUGAGGUCCUUGAAAGUCAUUGUCGUAUGAUGGAUAAAAGCCCUGGUCUUCAUUGCUCGAAAGUGCACAUUCGCUAGAAAGGAAAGGGCCUUUUCUUGGGAGCUUGCACACCUUCUGAGCAGCAGGCCAGGGGAUGUGAAAAAACAGGACAAGGGCGGCAGCAUUUUAUUAAGUUCUAGGGGGCUUUCAGAUACGAUGCCCUCUCCUUCCCCAACUUCCCUAAAUUGUAUAUGGAAACACAUUCCCAUUUGGCAAAUGUGUGCAGAGGUUAAACCAGCCACAGAUAAGGAAACGGAGACAAACGGGAGUCCCAAAGCUGGUAAGUGGGAAACCUAAGAUCUGAAUCCAGUUCCAUGGGAUCCAGCGUCUUCCCUGAGCUAAACCAAUAAGCUUCAGAUUAUGCAAAAACAUGUUUUCAAACAUGUACAAUAAACUUUAUUUUAUAUAUAUAUAUACACACACAUGCAUACAUAUAUGUCUAUAUGCUAUAUAUGUAUAUAUGUGCAUAUAUUAAAGUAUAGUUGAUUUGCAAGUUUGUAUGAAUUUCAAGUGAACAACAGAGCGAUUCAGAUAUACUCUUUUUCAGAUUCUUUUCCCUUAUAGAUUAUUACAAAAUAUUGCGAAGAGGUCCCUGUGCGAUAGAGCAGGUCCUUAUUAGGUUAUCUGUUUUAUAUAUCAUAGUGUGUGUAUGUUAACCCCAAACUUCCACUUUAUCCCUCUCCCACUUCCCCCUUUGGUAACCAUGUUUGUUUUCUAUGUCUGUGGAUCUAUUUCUAUUUUGUACAUAAGUUCUCUUGUAUCAUUUUUUCUUAGAUUCCCUGUAUAAGCAAUAUCAUGACGCUAUUGGUCUUUGUCUGGCUUCCUUCACUGAGCAUGCUAGUCCCUAGGUCCGUCCACGUUGCCGCAAAUGGCCUCAUUUCCUUCCUUUUUAUGGCAGAGUAAUAGUCCACUGUGUAUAUGUACCACCUCUUCUUAUCCACUCCUCUGUGGAUGGACAUUCAGGUGACUUCCAGAGAUUGUGACACCUAGAAAACGGCAGUUAUAAACACAAAUACCCCCAGGAGCCUGUGCAGGACAAAUGAGGGAGAAGCAGGCUGGGAGAAGCACAGUAGAAAGGGGAUCCAUGAGCACAGGCUCUUUUGAAAAGGGGCAGUUACUCAUCUGCCCCUAUUGGUAAUUGCCCUAAUAAUUAUUGAUGAUAGAUAGAUAGAUAGAUGAUAGAUAGAUAAUGAUUGAUGAUAGAUAGAUGAUUGAUGGAUAGAUAGAUGACUGACAGAUAGAUAAUGAUUGAUGAUUGAUAGAUAAUGAUUGACGAUAGAUAGAUGAUUGAUAGAUAAUGAUUGACGAUAGAUAGAUAGAUGAUUGAUGGAUAGAUAGAUAGAUAGAUAGAUGAUAGAUGAUAGAUGAUUGACAGAUAAUGAUUGAUGAUAUAGAUGAUUGAUAGACAGAUAAUGAUUGACGAUAGAUGAUUGAUAUAUGAUAGAUGGAUAGAUACAUAGAUGAUUGAUAGAUAAUGAUUGACGAUAGAUAGAUAGAUGAUUGAUGGAUAGAUAGAUGAUAGAUGGAUAGAUAGAUAGAUAGAUAGAUAGAUAGACUGACAGACAGCUAGAUAACCAACCUCUGUAGGAACCAGAGAUGUACUGAAGCCUCAUUUAACCUAAUGGUUCUGAUUUUGGCCUCCAGGAGACAUCUGUCCAUGUCUGGAGACACUCUGGCUUGUCACAACCAAGGACAAGAGAUGCUAUUCUCCUCCAGUUCUAGAGGCCACGGAUGCUUGUCAAUAUCCUCCCAUCUGUAAGGACAGCUCCCAUCAUGCAGAUCUAGCUCCCAAAUGGCCACCGUGCCAACGUCAGGAAAUUCUGGUUUAACUUCUGGUCCCUCCAGCUCCGAUUUCUAGUUUAAAGAUUUCUCUCCAUCCUCCACGUUCCUCAUCCCUCACGGCAAACAUCCGACCACAGGGGUGGCGUGAUACUGACUUGCUUUUUCUUUGGUUCGCCUUGUUCCAGACCCAGGCUAAUUCUUACCCACGCGGAAGGUCCUGCGUUAUACUUGAAAAUCCAGCUUCAUGGUCAAGUGUAUAAGAAACAGGAGCAAUUCAACUCCAGUCAAUAACGUAAACAAAGCCCAGUGGAGAUAAACCCCAUUACCAGGCCCGAAGUGGCCCAGGGCACCUCUGCUCCUGCUGAUUAGCGUAAAUGCUAAACACAAGCCAAUUAACACACUCUAAGGCUGCUUAUCUCCUGUCACUUCUCGUGGAAAUAAAGUGCAGUGCUAAAUACACAUAUUGAUUUAGCCAUUAAAGCCAGCAUCACUCAAAAUAAAACUCAUUAUGUUAUUGGGUAACAGCAAAGUCACCAUAGUUUUCAGGAUGGGCCGUGUGAUGAAGAAAUUUCACGCUUACAUUUUUCGAUUGCUUUCCCAAACCAUCCUGAGCCCCUCCUCCUAGUCUGUGUCAUCACCAAGCCUAGAAAGUAGAAUUCUGCCUUCACCUUUACGUGAUCUUUGCUUUUAGCCCUAAAAACGGACGUGCAUAAGAGGGUCCUUUGUCUUUAAAGUGUUAUUUCAGCACAGACAAGGAAAUUGUAUGCUUGAAAGGAAGGGAAUUAAACAGGAAGAUGAACUGGGAUAUUAAACAACAAAUACAAAAGAAAAAAAAAUCACAGGCAUUAUAAUAAAAACGGGUUAACUUUGAACAUGAACCAUAGGCACUGAUCCGAUGCUUAUGGGCCAAAAAAAAAAAAAAAGGCAGAAAUAUCUUCCUAGUUGAGGGGUACACAGGACUGAGUUAUCUGAAAAAAAAACUUUCUCAUGAAAUCACUUCGAAUAGAUAUUUUAAUUUAUUCUGCAUUAGAGACCAAGUGCCACAUAGCACGUCCUAGCAUUUUGGCAGCCAUCCCAUUUUACCAAGAUGAUUUAAAUCUCCCCCAUGGGAAACCAAGCCCCAGUGAACGCUUUGUCGCAUUGACCUUCAUUUUCCAGAUGCUAAUGUGGGGUGUGGCAGGUAGGGGACCUUCUUCCAUGGCUGUGAUCGGUCUCCAGAAAUGCCUGCUUCCACAAAUGCCCAAAGAAGUUAAGGAUCUACUUCUAGGGUUUAUGUUCCCACAGAUUUCAUUUGAGGGCUCUUUCCCCUUUAUUUCUGAUGGACAAGGUUGGACCCAUGAUCUGAGCCCUUGUCAAUACCUCUCUGCCAAACACCGUCUGUAUUACAGCAUCUUUGUCGAAUACGAAAUAACCAGUUUAUUUAUCCGCUGCUCUUAAUACAUGGUUCUGGUGUGUUACAAAUCAAUGAUGGAAAAAGAAGGGUACUUACAGCUCAGGGAAGUAUACAUAAUCCAUAGACUCUCCUAUUUAUUCAACACACCUUAUCGAUGGAAAUCUGUUAUACUCAGGAAUAUUAUUUGUCAGGCUGGCCAGAACCC